Molecule: unclassified non-coding RNA, 246 nt
Filed under: Hevea brasiliensis (rubber tree)
Lineage: Eukaryota; Viridiplantae; Streptophyta; Magnoliopsida; Malpighiales; Euphorbiaceae
Source: RNAcentral
GGGUUGGCUUUAAAAGACCUUUUUUGCUUAGCAAGAAAAUCGUCCCUUUCAUUUUUCAUUUACAUGUUUUGCUAUGUAGAUGAGAUGGGGAAUUAUAGCCAUAUAAGUACAUUAAUUUGUUGGGCCUUUGUUUGGUUUGAAUCAAAAUUAAGGAAUGACUAGGGCUGAUGGAUUGUGCAAGACUAAAAACAGACCUAUGAUUAUGGUUGGUGGUCUUUAAAUUCCAGUUGCAAAUUCCAUUAUUAU